UACGUAGGGGGCAAGCGUUGUCCGGAUUCAUUGGGCGUAAAGAGCGUGUAGGCGGCCAGAUAGGUCAGCUGUGAAAACUCGAGGCUCAACCUCGAGACGUCGGUUGAAACCAUCUGGCUAGAGUCCGGAAGAGGAGUGUGGAAUUCCCGGUGUAGCGGUGAAAUGCGCAGAUAUCGGGAAGAACACCCGUGGCGAAGGCGGCACUCUGGGCCGAUACUGACGCUGAGGAGCGAAAGCAUGGGUAGCGAACAGG
This 253-nucleotide ribosomal RNA is filed under the name uncultured bacterium. RNAcentral describes it as "partial 16S ribosomal RNA". It matches the Rfam family "Bacterial small subunit ribosomal RNA", at positions 524 to 776 of the family's 1533-position model. The record is from RNAcentral.